GAUGAACGCUGACAGAAUGCUUAACACAUGCAAGUCGAUGGGGAAGUGGUGCUUGCACCAUGGCAACCAUGGCGGACGGGUGAGUAACGCGUAAGGGACUUACCUGCAGGACUGGGAUAACAGGGGGAAACUCCUGACAAGACCGGAUAAUGUCAUGGAGCUGCAUGGCUUUAUGAUGAAAGGAGACGCCUGCGGAGAGCCUUGCGUCCUAUUAGCUAGUUGGUGAGGUAAUGGCUCACCAAGGCGAAGAUAGGUAGCCGGCCUGAGAGGGUGGACGGCCACAAGGGGACUGAGAUACGGCCCUUACUCCUACGGGAGGCAGCAGUGGAGAAUACUGGACAAAGGGAGCAACGCUGAUCCAGCAAUUCUGUGUGCACGAAGAAGGUUUUCGGAUUGUAAAGUACUUUCAGCAGGGAAGAAGUAAGUGACGGUACCUGCAGAAGAAGCGACGGCUAAAUACGUG
Molecule: ribosomal RNA, 463 nt
Filed under: uncultured bacterium
Lineage: Bacteria
Description: partial 16S ribosomal RNA
Rfam family: Bacterial small subunit ribosomal RNA
Source: RNAcentral